RNAcentral lists this ribosomal RNA (504 nucleotides) under uncultured bacterium. Its description in RNAcentral is "bacterial SSU rRNA". It matches the Rfam family "Bacterial small subunit ribosomal RNA", at positions 791 to 1301 of the family's 1533-position model. The record is from RNAcentral.
UAGUCCACGCCGUAAACGAUGGAUACUAGCUGUUCGGAACUUGUUCUGAGUGGCUAAGCGAAAGUGAUAAGUAUCCCACCUGGGGAGUACGUUCGCAAGAAUGAAACUCAAAGGAAUUGACGGGGGCCCGCACAAGCGGUGGAGCAUGUGGUUUAAUUCGAUGAUACGCGAGGAACCUUACCAGGGCUUAAAUGUAGUCUGACAGGGCCAGAAAUGGCUUUUUCUUCGGACAGAUUACAAGGUGCUGCAUGGUUGUCGUCAGCUCGUGCCGUGAGGUGUCAGGUUAAGUCCUAUAACGAGCGCAACCCCUGUUGUUAGUUGCCAUCGAGUAAUGUCGGGAACUCUAACAAGACUGCCGGUGCAAACCGUGAGGAAGGUGGGGAUGACGUCAAAUCAUCACGGCCCUUACGUCCUGGGCCACACACGUGCUACAAUGGUAGGUACAGAGAGCAGCCACUGCGUGAGCAGGAGCGAAUCUUCAAAACCUAUCUCAGUUCGGAUCGG